CAUUGAGGCUGAAGGUCAGCUUUCUUCUGUCACCCUCUGGUCUCUCUACCCUUUCCAUCUCUUUCUGAAUUAAACUCUUCAGUAUGCCAUCAUGUUCAUCAGUACAUGGUGAAGACAUUGAAUAAGCUUCCCAAGAGCAGUUGGUGUUGCCUCAACAUAGGUGACAUCACAGAGGAUGCCAGGGCUCUCCAGGAUACAGUAGAAUGUCCAGCGAAGAGCUGCAGAUGUCAUGAGAACUGACAUUGCUUCCCUGCUAAUGAGUUUUCCUCAUAACACACAAGAAGUCAAGCUGACCUUUGCAGGAGCCUCUGCUGGGAUACAAGGGAAGCCCUUCAGCAUCCCCUUCAUCCAAAGCCAGAGAUCUCUCCCCAGUUACUUGGACAUCCCUUAGUUCUUUCCAUGUGUGGAACUGAAUGUUUAUCUCCUACAGUAAUUCUAUAUACACAAGGAUAUCUGAUAUUCAACCCCCAAUCGGGUGGUGAACCACAGGUUGAGGACCACAGCUCUGAAUGCAAGCAGAAAUCUCUUCAAAUCCUGGCAGUGGUUCUGGAGCAGUGACAUUCUUACUUUUUAUUAUCAGACUGAAUCAAACUAGUCACCUGGGAAUAGGGACCCUCAAUGAGGAAUUAUAUAGAUCAGAUUUACUUUG
Peromyscus eremicus (cactus mouse) is the source of this 649-nucleotide long non-coding RNA. RefSeq lists it as uncharacterized. Lineage: Eukaryota; Metazoa; Chordata; Mammalia; Rodentia; Cricetidae. The transcript is spliced from 2 exons. The record is from RefSeq and is a predicted model, not a curated record.